Molecule: long non-coding RNA, 635 nt
Organism: Scatophagus argus
Lineage: Eukaryota; Metazoa; Chordata; Actinopteri; Scatophagidae
Exons: 3
Source: RefSeq, a predicted model, not a curated record
GUUGAUGGAAGGCAGAUGUGCAAGUUGGGCAGGUGAAGUGAACAAGUUGCAAUCUGGAGGGAGCCAGGAGAGCGUAGUAAAAGCAAACCACCAAUGACAAAUAAUGUCUUUCAUGUCUAAACUCUUCCUAGUUGACCUAAGACCACUUUUUGCACAAAUUAAGAGCUUUCAUGUUCAAAAUUCAUACAAAAUGGACUGUCCACUAAGCUGAAUUUCUAGCUUAGCCAAGCGGUGGACAGGAUUUCCAGUCUGGAGGAUUUAUGCCUGAGGAGGAUUUCUCAGCUGUCCACAGCCCUGGUCUCUCCAUGUCAUCUGAAAUUUCACACAGCUCUCCACAAAGCUUUCGCCUUGACUUGACUGUUGCUCGCAGAGUCUUCAUCCGCCGUCACAGCAAAUUGAAGCAGACCCUGCACUGUGCACCGAUAUACCAGCGCCUGUGGUGACAGUGUUUUGCUACAAAAUGCGUUGACAGAUUCGACUGAUUUAUCAUCCAAGUGUUGACCAUGUUGGUAAACAGCCAAAUCAGUGGGCCAUCUCACAAUAACCAGCAGCAGUUAUUUAAUUCACCUCCAGACAGAUGAAAACAAAUCCCUAAACGUGCAAAAAGACCCAGAAUUGAAAAGACUUUAACAAAA